RNAcentral lists this ribosomal RNA (253 nucleotides) under uncultured bacterium. Its description in RNAcentral is "partial 16S ribosomal RNA". It matches the Rfam family "Bacterial small subunit ribosomal RNA", at positions 524 to 776 of the family's 1533-position model. The record is from RNAcentral.
UACGGGGGGGGCAAGCGUUGUCCGGAAUCAUUGGGCGUAAAGAGCGUGUAGGCGGCCAGGUAGGUCUGCUGUGAAAACUCGAGGCUCAACCUCGAGACGUCGGCGGAAACCAUCUGGCUAGAGUCCGGAAGAGGAGAGUGGAAUUCCUGGUGUAGCGGUGAAAUGCGCAGAUAUCAGGAAGAACACCCGUGGCGAAGGCGGCUCUCUGGGACGGUACUGACGCUGAGACGCGAAAGCGUGGGGAGCGAACAGG